This is a long non-coding RNA of Hemicordylus capensis (graceful crag lizard), 1348 nucleotides long. RefSeq lists it as uncharacterized. The record is from RefSeq and is a predicted model, not a curated record. Lineage: Eukaryota; Metazoa; Chordata; Lepidosauria; Squamata; Cordylidae. The transcript has 3 exons.
CCCAGACAGGCCCUCCUCCGCGGCCUCCGGUGUGGCACAGACCUUACAGAAUGUGGCAACACCUAGGAGACAAGAGGUUAAGAAUUGGUUCUUGGCUCUGAAAGGGGAAAGUUUAGGUUUGCAGUCAAGACAAACAGGAGGCCAGAGCACAGAGCCGCCAGCUUUUCAAAUGGCCACGGUUGCCUGUAACAGAAAGUUACAGAGAUAUACAGCCAGGAGCAGGAGGAGUUUUGCAGGUGUGGAGAUAUCACAUCACCACCUGCUCAUUGCUACAGAUGAAGUCACUUUUGAAACAGCUACAGGGCAGUUGAGAAGCUGGCAACCCAGGAUAUGGAGCAGGGAUGAGGCCGGCCAGACCCUUUGCUCUGCACAGUUACCUGAGUAGCCACUGCGGGUGCGACUGAAGCUGAAGUAGGAGUUAUACCCCUCUACUAUAGCCAAUGGCUCCUCCAGAAGGUCCCCUGAGAACAAAGCACAAUUUGGGAAGAAGGGAGCCAAGAAGAGAGCAAUCACAGCUGCCCCUCUCCAGGAAGAGUACAACUCCCAGAGUUCCGUGGCGAGGGGAAGCAUCACAGCUGCUAAACCAGUUUGGCACCCUUGAGACUCGCUGCGUCCCGCUCCCGCCUCGCUUUCAGCUCCGGCUGCUGCACCGGAGGAUGCCUCUGACUCACGGGUGAUCUUGGUCUCUUGGAGGCAGACGACAUCGGCGCCUAGCGAGUCCAGGAGGCGCCGCAGCCCUGCAGGACCCGCCCCAGCUCGGAGCCCGUUCACGUUCCAGCUCACCAGCCUCAUCCCCCACCCCGCGCCAGCCGCCGGACUCCAGGAGAGGGGCGGGAGCGAACUUCAAAGUCAGACGUCACUUCCGGCCGCCCAAUGAGCAACAACGAAGCGUUAUUGAAAAUAAACCCUUCGAAGUUCCUUCCUUUCAGCCAGCACUUCCGGUUCUGAUUUGAAUCCUCCAGCUGCGGGUCUAGAGUUGGGUGGGUGGAGCGGUAUGUAGGGGACAAAAUAAAACAUUAAAUAACAGCGGGCCGGAUAACAUAAGGAGCUCCCAUCCGUUAAUCUUGUGGUUACAAACACGAACUGUCCCCUGCUAAUCAGGAUGAUCCACCCUGCCCUGUGUGUCCCUCAAGCUCCAGGCACAGGCUCUUCCCCUGGUCCACCAGGUGCCAUAUCCUCUGCCCCACUGGCUCCAGCAUAUGCACCCAAGGAUCUCUGAGCCUCAAAAGAACUGGCAACUCUAUCAUCCUAAAGGUCAAGGUGACACAGAAGAUGCAUGAGAGGGUUUCCUGGCAUUUUUAUGAAAGCAGCUAUGGGGACCCUCUGCUAAUUAGAUCACGAAAGCAGC